UUCUGCUUCUCCUUUUGAGACCCUUGAGGAUAUUGCAUACCUAAUGUUUAUAGGACUUAAAGUUAGACAUUUGUCACAGAAAAGUGCAAAAAGACAAUAUAGAUAAACUUGGUGGAUUCUAAUGAAUGAGCGUUCCUCUCACAUAAUUGCAGAAACCACAACUCUAAACUGAGUGCAGCACCCUUCAAAGGGAACUUAAUUUCAUACCAUGAGUGGUGUAACAUAGCUUGCUGUUUGGUACUUAAUAACAACUUCAAUUUAGGGGUAAUGGUUUUACAUUUAAAGUCCCAUUAAAAAGAUAAACACCUUUAAACUGACCACUCAGAUCACUUAACAGUGGUGUCUGAUCAGUAGAAAGACUAUGCAUUUUAUCCCCUUUCUUUUGGGUUUUUGAGGCCCUCUGUCUGGUAGUAAGCUUUAACAAAUUGUCUGUGUGAGACCUUAAGGCUACUCAUGAAAUUCAGGAAGACUCAGAGCUACUUACUUAUAUAGAUAAAAUUGCAUCAGAUGACCUGCGAGAAACAGGUACCAUUGCAAAUUCAAGUUACUGUUAAGAUUCCUGUCAGCAAUUUCAGCCCUUUCUUGCAAAAGCAACCAAAUAAAGUAUUACUCAAACAUCUGUCAACAGAGACUUGAGGGUCUAACCUUCAGCUAAACUAGAAACCCGUAAUGAAGGACAGCUGGUCCAAACUGCUUCUGCUUACAUGAGGCUUCAGCACUUCUUUGAUGUAUAGCUUGGAAACAAAAGCAUAGAUUCAUCACCCUUGGCCAAAGAAUUCCUGUUCAGGAAAGGCAUUUUAUGGGGAAUUAACUUGACUCCCGGCCACUAUGCGCUUGGAUGUCAGGUGCAUACCAGGUGCUUUCCUGACUUGGGACCUCUAUCAACAGAUAAAUACAGAGGAAAACAGUUGUCUUUUGAACAUAUGCUCACCUGCUUCAAUGGAUCCAAAGCUAGUAAUAAAAGCACCCCUAAAUAUAUAACAGAUGCAGAAGUGAAUAUAAGUGGAAACAGUUGAAUAAGGGAAGCAGACCCAGAGCUGUCAUCAAGGUCUUCACAGUCACUAGAUUUUUUUUCACCUGCUCGUGCAGUUCUUGCUCAAGAUCUGUUGGCAGUGACUAUGUAUUUCAUCUCUCACCAUUUUUUUUUUUUUCUCCUCAACCUCACAGGGUUUUCCUGAGAGUUUGUGGCUAUAUUAGGUUCAUCUUUAAAUCCUACUAAAUGUGCUAAACAGCGUAAAAUGGUUGCCAUUAAAAAGGCAAAUUUUUAUGCUGCCAAUACUAAUCUAGGGCCUCCUUCUAAAGUUUGUUCCUGGAGGCUCUCUGGAAAUCUUCCAGCUUGUGAGAAUCUGGUGUGGAAGGGUGCAUGUCAGCUUGGUGUAUGGAGAACUGAAGAACUAGGAGUUCAUGGGUUUGUUUUCCUAUAUAAACAAAAUGCAUUUUGUAAAGAAAGGUGGAAAUACCAGUUGGCAAACGUAUUUUAUGCAGUGCUUUGAAUCUGAGGUGUGGUACAUACAGAAUCAAUUAAAAAUAUCAUGACCCUGUGUCAUUGUGGCUUAAGAGCAAAAGAAAAGAAUUCACAUUUGUCUUUCUUCACAAAUGUGUUUAAAAGCAAUUGAUGCUUGCUGUUCUCUGACUCAUUCCGCAUAGGAGAGUUGUGUUUACAGAGAUUUUUCUAGAUGUGUGAAGAAACUUCUGGGCAAGAUGGCUUUAAGCAGGGUGCAGAGAAGUUUUGAUUUUGUUACAAAAAUAAGGAUUCCAGAUAUUAUGAUAUCUGGAUUAUUAUUUUAUAUGCAUUCCUUUCCUUUCAGAAGUGUUCUUAGAUCCCGCUGAAUACACCAGGCCUUGU
This is a long non-coding RNA of Pezoporus occidentalis (night parrot), 1846 nucleotides long. RefSeq lists it as uncharacterized. The transcript has 3 exons. The record is from RefSeq and is a predicted model, not a curated record. Lineage: Eukaryota; Metazoa; Chordata; Aves; Psittaciformes; Psittacidae.